ACUUGUUAAUUUAUAAAACUAGUAAACAUUAAAUUUAGCAAACCCUAAUAGCUAAAAUUUGUUUAGAUUGGAGCAAUCUUAAUGUUAUGGGUCAGAACUUUCACAUUCUAGUACUAGCGGUUUCCCUAACAAUUGACAUAAAUAAAAUGGAACUAAUUUUAAGGUGUAUGGUAAAUAAAUAAUUUUUGACAAGCUUUUACAGCGUUUAGUCGUUAGUUAGUAAUUAAAACCAGGCUAGUAAAUGUGGAACAGUAUGAUACAAACGUCCCAAACCGUCGAAAGUCCUUAUUCGUCAUUAAAAAAUAAUAGCCAGUUACCACAGCGUAAAGAAGGAACAAAGAACGACGAAGAUCAAGCGAAGUCUGACAAAAGUUUCAAAGAAGAGAUAAAAGAAACCGUGUUUUUCAAACCUUCGGUAAAGCGUGUAAAAUAUUCGAAAAGAAAUUCAAAGACCGCUAAUUUUGAAGACAAAAACCAAUGUGAUGGAACCGUCAAUAGUCUUCUUUAUACCACGGCUGCAUACAUCGUGAAGAACGAAUGUAGACUGAAGCAAUUCUACAGCAGAAAGUUUAACGCUGCGUGGGAUAUGAUCAAUUCCGAGAAAUAUUCGGGAAACAUUUUAGAGCAGUGUUACGAAACCGUUAGGGAUUUGAAUAAAAAGCAAAAGCUCCUUCGAUGCAUUGAAAAUGAUGACAUAACGGAAGAGUCCAUGGCCGAUAUCAUGUACUUCGACGAGGAGGUGUUUUUGAGGGAGAAACAUAUGUUUGAGGUUGUCAACAGGAAUCCCGCCAAAAAUGUCGCAGAGUCAUUUCACAUUUUGUAGUUUUCAAUUUAAUUUAGAACCAGAUGGAGUUAUAUCUAGUAAACAAUAAACUAAAACGCUACGCUAGUUAUGCUUGUUGCCGGGUUUGAUAAACUCCACUUUAGUCACGAGUUUUUUAGACACAAACGAAUCGAGUGCUUAAUAAAUAAGUGACUGAAAAAAAUAAUCAACGUGCCGGCAUACUCUUUCUAUGACCAUUAGUUUUUUUCUACAUUUUUGCAAAACACAAAACUGACAAACAAAAAAAAAAGGAAAAUAUCGCCAUAAACGUCCGAAGUGGCUUUCGAGUAGUGAAGGUUUUUUUUAGUUAUUUAUUUUAGCGAAAAUGCCAAAGAGAUGCUUUUUUUAAUGUAAUUGAAAAUGACGAUAAAUUAUUGGCUUACCGCGGUUUUUAUCAUUUAAAUGAACUAAAAUGGUCUCACAUUCGCUUGUCGUUAAGUACAAGGCAGAACUGAUAAUUGCCUAUCAAGUUUGAAUGCAAAAUGUAGAAAUAGUAUAUUAGGCAACAAGUGCGGUAGACGGCAUAUGACUUACGAGUUUUUAAUAAACGAGUGAGGUAAAAAGUUUACCGAACGUGUUGUAUACUAUACUUUUUCUACGACCGUUAGUUUUUGGGUACAUUUUCGCAAAACACGAAUACAUUCACUGACAUGACGGUCAGAAUUGACAAACGUCAAAAUUCAAAGUGUGGGAAAUAUCUCCGAAAACAUCCAAUUGCUCCCAAACCCGUGCGGUAAAAUCCCGGAAAUGUCCGAAGUGGCUCGGAUUCGUGGGAAACGAAACUGACGUGGUAAAGCGACGCUUGCCGCACACUAGAUCGACACGCAAAAUCAACCCCCUCGUUUCGCCGACCAGCCGCAUCUCCUGGUCGCCUGAUAAAAAUCUAAGGGUGUUUCACCAGAGGGUUGGUUUGAAGGGAUGGCCCCGACCCUCGCCCCGCCUAGACACGUUCC
Cylas formicarius (sweet potato weevil) is the source of this 1776-nucleotide RNA transcript. RefSeq lists it as uncharacterized. NCBI's taxonomy places the organism in Eukaryota, Metazoa, Arthropoda, Insecta, Coleoptera, Brentidae. The transcript is spliced from 4 exons. The record is from RefSeq and is a predicted model, not a curated record.